GACGAACGCUGGCGGCGUGCUUAACACAUGCAAGUCGAACGGAAAGGCCCUGCUUUUGUGGGGUGCUCGAGUGGCGAACGGGUGAGUAACACGUGAGUAACCUGCCCUUGCCUUUGGGAUAACUUCAGGAAACUGGGGCUAAUACCGGAUAGGAGCUCCUGCUGCAUGGUGGGGGUUGGAAAGUUUCGGCGGUUGGGGAUGGACUCGCGGCUUAUCAGCUUGUUGGUUGGGUAGUGGCUUACCAAGGCUUUGACGGGUAGCCGGCCUGAGAGGGUGACCGGCCACAUUGGGACUGAGAUACGGCCCAGACUCCUACGGGAGGCAGCGGUGGGGAAUAUUGCACAAUGGGCGGAAGCCUGAUGCAGCAACGCCGCGUGCGGGAUGACGGCCUUCGGGUUGUAAACCGCUUUCGCCUGUGACGAAGCGUGAGUGACGGUAAUGGGUAAAGAAGCACCGGCUAACUACGUG
This 468-nucleotide ribosomal RNA is filed under the name uncultured bacterium. RNAcentral describes it as "partial 16S ribosomal RNA". It matches the Rfam family "Bacterial small subunit ribosomal RNA", at positions 28 to 507 of the family's 1533-position model. The record is from RNAcentral.